This 497-nucleotide ribosomal RNA is filed under the name uncultured bacterium. RNAcentral's name for it is "partial 16S ribosomal RNA". It matches the Rfam family "Bacterial small subunit ribosomal RNA", at positions 28 to 507 of the family's 1533-position model. The record is from RNAcentral.
GAUGAACGCUGGCGGCGUGCCUAAUACAUGCAAGUCGAGCGAACAGACGAGGAGCUUGCUCCUCUGACGUUAGCGGCGGACGGGUGAGUAACACGUGGAUAACCUACCUAUAAGACUGGGAUAACUUCGGGAAACCGGAGCUAAUACCGGAUAACAUGUUGAACCGCAUGGUUCAACAGCGAAAGACGGUCUUGCUGUCACUUAUAGAUGGAUCCGCGCCGCAUUAGCUAGUUGGUAAGGUAACGGCUUACCAAGGCAACGAUGCGUAGCCGACCUGAGAGGGUGAUCGGCCACACUGGAACUGAGACACGGUCCAGACUCCUAAGGGAGGCAGCAGUAGGGAAUCUUCCGCAAUGGGCGAAAGCCUGACGGAGCAACGCCGCGUGAGUGAAGAAGGUCUUCGGAUCGUAAAACUCUGUUAUUAGGGAAGAACAAAUGUGUAAGUAACUAUGCACGUCUUGACGGUACCUAAUCAGAAAGCCACGGCUAACUACGUG